AACCAAAACAACAACAGCAGAAAACCCUUUUGGCCGUGAGCCAAAGGAAAGGCUUGUGUGCUGCCAGAGGCAAAUGAACAUAGCCACCUCAUGCUUUGAGUUUGGCCAAAAGGCCCAGGGAAAAUGCCCCACUACUAAGCUUGAAGACAGAUUCUCAUUAGAGUCGGAGAGAAGCACUUGUCCCACAACUCUGCAAGCGAGGAGUCAGGGCAACAAGGAGAGAGAAUUCUGAGAAGAGAGGAAAAAGCAAAGCAGCAGGAGAGCUGGAGGAAAGGGGAGCAGAGGAACCAACAAACCAGCAAUCCGCAGCUAACCAGCUAAGCCCAGCUCUCUAGCUGGGGGCAGAGACCAGAUCCUGCAAGCAUCAGGUAAGCCCAGAUGUGACCAAGCCCAAGUGCUGAUAGCUACCCUACAGACAUCAAGGGUGAGACGUCCACACUCCUUCCUAGCUUUAAAUACGGUUCAGGGGAUCUGCUCAAAAGAUGACACCCACUUUGCAAAGCAUGCAAAGAAGGAAUCCAGGCUGCAGCUCUGAAGGCUCCAUGAUGAACAACUGUAACGAGGAG
RNAcentral lists this long non-coding RNA (566 nucleotides) under Mus spicilegus (steppe mouse). RNAcentral's name for it is "lncRNA (ENSMSIG00000023050.1)". The record is from RNAcentral. Lineage: Eukaryota; Metazoa; Chordata; Mammalia; Rodentia; Muridae.